RNAcentral lists this ribosomal RNA (914 nucleotides) under uncultured bacterium. RNAcentral describes it as "bacterial SSU rRNA". It matches the Rfam family "Bacterial small subunit ribosomal RNA", at positions 246 to 1155 of the family's 1533-position model. The record is from RNAcentral.
UUGUUGGUAAGGUAAAGGCUUACCAAGGCUUCGAUCAGUAGCUGGUCUGAGAGGACGGCCAGCCACACUGGGACUGAGACACGGCCCAGACUCCUACGGGAGGCAGCAGUGGGGAAUUUUGGACAAUGGGGGAAACCCUGAUCCAGCCAUGCCGCGUGAGUGAAGAAGGCRUUCGUUGUAAAGCUCUUUCAGCCGGAACGAAACGGUUACGGAUAAUACCCGUGACUACUGACGGUACCGGAAGAAGAAGCACCGGCUAACUACGUGCCAGCAGCCGCGGUAAUACGUAGGGUGCGAGCGUUAAUCGGAAUUACUGGGCGUAAAGCGUGCGCAGGUGGUUUUGUAAGUCAGAUGUGAAAGCCCCGGGCUCAACCUGGGAACUGCGUUUGAAACUACAAGACUAGAGUGUGGCAGAGGGGGGUGGAAUUCCGCGUGUAGCAGUGAAAUGCGUAGAGAUGUGGAGGAACACCGAUGGCGAAGGCAGCCCCCUGGGUUAACACUGACACUCAGGCACGAAAGCAUGGGGAGCAAACAGGAUUAGAUACCCUGGUAGUCCAUGCCCUAAACGAUGUCAACUAGUUGUCGGGCCUUUACGGGCUUGGUAACGUAGCUAACGCGUGAAGUUGACCGCCUGGGGAGUACGAUCGCAAGAUUAAAACUCAAAUGAAUUGACGGGGACCCGCACAAGCGGUGGAUUAUGUGGAUUAAUUCGAUGCAACGCGAAAAACCUUACCUACCCUUGACAUGUAUCGAAGCCCGCAGAAAAGCGGGGGUGCCCGAAAGGGAACGAUAACACAGGUGCUGCAUGGCUGUCGUCAGCUCGUGUCGUGAGAUGUUGGGUUAAGUCCCGCAACGAGCGCAACCCUUGUCAUUAAUUGCCAUCAUUUAGUUGGGCACUUUAAUGAGACUGCCGG